AGAGUUUGAUCCUGGCUCAGGACGAACGCUGGCGGCGUGCCUAAUACAUGCAAGUCGAACGGUCUUUUCUAUGGAAGCUUGCUUCCACUGAGAAGAUAGUGGCGAACGGGUGAGUAACACGUGGGUACCUGCCCGUAAGAGGGGGAUAACAUCCGGAAACGGGUGCUAAUACCGCAUAGUUUUCUUGAUCGCAUGAUUGAGAAAGGAAAGACGGCCUUUGUGCUGUCGCUUAUGGAUGGACCCGCGGCGUAUUAGUUAGUUGGUGAGGUAACGGCUCACCAAGACGAUGAUACGUAGCCGACCUGAGAGGGUGAUCGGCCACAUUGGGACUGAGACACGGCCCAAACUCCUACGGGAGGCAGCAGUAGGGAAUCUUCCGCAAUGGACGAAAGUCUGACGGAGCAACGCCGCGUGAGUGAAGAAGGUUUUCGGAUCGUAAAACUCUGUUGUCAGAGAAGAACAAGUUGGAGAGUAACUGCUCCAGCCUUGACGGUAUCUGACCAGAAAGCCACGGCUAACUACGUGCCAGCAGCCGCGGUAAUACGUAGGUGGCAAGCGUUGUCCGGAUUUAUUGGGCGUAAAGCGAGCGCAGGCGGU
RNAcentral lists this ribosomal RNA (597 nucleotides) under uncultured bacterium. Its description in RNAcentral is "bacterial SSU rRNA". It matches the Rfam family "Bacterial small subunit ribosomal RNA", at positions 8 to 579 of the family's 1533-position model. The record is from RNAcentral.